This 72-nucleotide transfer RNA is filed under the name Camelus bactrianus (Bactrian camel). It matches the Rfam family "tRNA". From Rfam's summary of the family: Transfer RNA (tRNA) molecules are approximately 80 nucleotides in length. Their secondary structure includes four short double-helical elements and three loops (D, anti-codon, and T loops). Lineage: Eukaryota; Metazoa; Chordata; Mammalia; Artiodactyla; Camelidae. The record is from Rfam by way of RNAcentral. RNAcentral also lists the same sequence under 1 other name.
GGAGGUACAGCUCAGUGGUAGAGCGCCUGCUUUGUGUACAUGAGGUCCCGGGCUCAAUCCCCAGUGCCUCCA